RNAcentral lists this long non-coding RNA (5774 nucleotides) under Homo sapiens (human). Its description in RNAcentral is "non-protein coding lnc-DRD5-29:3". Lineage: Eukaryota; Metazoa; Chordata; Mammalia; Primates; Hominidae. The record is from RNAcentral.
AGCUGCUCCGCACAGCCCCGCCUGGCACGCAGCUCCAGCGGCUGGUCGGGUAGUAGUCGGUCCCGCCCACCCGGUGCGGUGGCCCCUGGGGUUUCAGUCCAAGGGGAGGGACCAGCGCUCCAAGAAGGUGAGGCUGCUGGGAUGGGUGACUCCGCCGUCACUGCAAACACGGGACGUCCCGUCUACUCCCUUACGCCUGCUUGGUCUGAGCCCGAGUCUACCUCUUCUCUAAGUCGCCAGCUCGGCACUUGUACCCGGGACCUGUGCUCCUCCCACAAAUUAAAUCAUUUUUGGGAAGCCCUCAAGGUACCAUAAGCUCUGGGCAGUGUGCCUAAGACUUCUAAUGGAGAAUUUAGCCCUGUGCAGAUGAUAUUGCAGAGGAGGAAUGCUUAGUUAAUUUAGUUCCAGGAUACCUGUGCAGGACAUGACAUGCAGGUUUGUCAUGUAGGUAAACAUGUGCCAUGGUGGUUUGCUGCACCUGUCGACCCAUCACCUAGGUAUUAAGCCCCACAUGCAUUAGCUAUUUUUCCUGAUGUUCUCCCUCCCUCCACCCCCUUGACAGGCCACAGUGUGUGUUGUUCCCCUCCCUGUGUCCAUGAGUUCUCAUUGUUCAGCUCCCACUUAUAAGUGAGAACAUGUGACGUUUGGCUUUCUGUUCCUGUGUUAGUCUGUGGAGGAUAUUGGCUUCCAGCUCCAACCAUGUCUCUGCAAAGGACAUGAUCUCAUUCCUUUUUAUGGCUGCAUAGUAUUCCAUGGUGUAUAUGUACCAGCAGUUAGUUCUUAAAUUAAAAAAAAAAGCUUUCAUAUUUAAUCAAGUUAGGUUAUUUCAAUAUAUGCACCAUAAUGAUUAUUGUAAAGUAAGUUCUGUAAACUAAGGAAAAAUAACUAUUUUGUGCAAUCUCAGAAAAAUCUACUAGAUGGUAUGGGAAACAAGAAAGAGAAAUGAAGAGGCAAAUAAAAACAUGGCAUUUAUUGAGUAGCUGUAUGCUGGGAGAUUUGAACAUUCUCCUUUCCUUUCCCCUAAUUUUACGUACAGAGAAGUAACUUCUUGAAGGUUGUAUGUUCCAGCUUGCAACUAGCCAUGUUGGAUUUAGAAACAGGUCAAAGUCAAGUUCCAUGCUUUCUUCCUGUCUCAUGAUAGCAUUCUCUCCCAUUCUCUACCUGCACAUAUAUAUUUCAUAAAACUAGAAAGAGGACUCCACUAUAUUUUACAUCAUUUCUUCAAAUGAAGAAGAGAUCUGAGUUCUUCAUACCUUCAACAUGUACUUACAUUCCAGGAAUUUAACUAUCCGUAAGGUAUUUAAAUCCUACAUUCAUGAUAUUGUUUUAAUUGCCCUGAGUCAACUAAUUGACAAAGGAAAAUGCUAUGCUUAAAAGCUCAGUUCUCAGUGUAAUUAUUUUUCUCUCCCCACAUAUAAUCAUCCUUUAAAUAUAAAAGCUAUUAUAGAGAUGCAGUUUCCAGCAAACUUUAUCUCACAUUGAGGCCCUUGACUUUAUGUGGUGUUUCAGAUCAGCUUUUUUGUCAAGGGUCACACAUUCAUUCCAGCAUCACUUAAUUCUUUAGCUGUUAGUCUCCAUCCAGCACUAGGGUAGACCCUGGAGAUGCAAAAGCAAGCUAGAGACAGUACCCUUAUUCUCAUGGAGCUAAACAUUAGAGAGGUAUUGGUGUAUUCUUCGGAGUAUAUAAUGCCCUUUCCAGCUAUGGACUCUGCCUUUCUUUAUGUAUUCACCUCUUCCUGGAAGCCACUUUGAGUUGGCAGAAACACUCUGCCUGCCUCAGGAGACAGAGGGAAUUAUUUGUUGAUAAAUUGGGGAAGAAUGGCUCUAAAUGCUUACAUCAGCUCUGUCCUUCCUCUUGGGAAUGAGAUGCAUGCAGGGAGCAUUUAGCCUGCAAGGCUUCUCUGCUGCUCUUCAGGGAUGCUUCCCUGUAGGAGAGAGAUCUACCUGGGUCUGGGGUGGCCUCUUCCUCCCUGGGUGAGUGUGCCUAGUUCUGGGGUUCAGCUAGUGGGUAUCUUGGCUCUGUCACAGUUAUACCCUCCAUCAUGGCCUCUAUUGGUAAUAAAGGAGAUACUUAGCUCUCAUCUGUCUUAGUCUUCGUUCCAUUAGCAGGGAAGAGGGGUGUCAUUCAUCGUGGCUGAUUUAAAGCUACAAAACUGAUGAGCUUUCUGUAUCCCUUUCUUUCUGGCUCCUAAUUCACUUAUCCUUUGCCCAUAAUUAGCACUCAUUAUGCACUGUCCUGUUCGUUAAUUGUUACCAUGGCUAUGGCUUUUUCUUGAUGUUUUUGUGAGUCUAUCGUGUUUAUAGCUUAUGUCUUUUAGGCCCUACUUAUAAGUAGAAAGAGAACAGGAAGUGAGCUCCCCCAAAAUAGACAUGCAGUCAAUAUCACAAACCCCAAGAGGGCAAGUUCUGGAACCAGCAGAUUCCAGCUCUGCAAUAUUAGCUCUAUAACUUCACCCACAUUACUUAACCUCAGUUUCUUCCUCUGGAAAAUGGGGAAAAUAAUGACACCCUUCUCAUAUUAUCACACAUGAAGUUCCUGACACAGAGUACACACUGAAUGCAUGUGUGCUGUUAUUACAAAAAGGAAUUAAAUCAGAUGGUUUUACCUUCCUUAGAAAGAAUUAAUACAGAAAAAAAAAAAGCUCCUCAACUCUCUUAAGUACUCUGAAUGAAUGACCUCUGUAUUGCAGACUCUUUAAAGCAGCAGUCUCCAAACUUUUUAGCACCAGAGACUGGUUUCGAGGAAGACAAUUUUUCCACAGACCCGGGUGGGGUGAAGGAUGGUUUUGGGAUGAUUCAAGCCCAUUACACUUACCAUUCUAUUCUCAUAAAAGAGCGCACAACCUUGCAUGCACGGUUCACAGUUGGGUUCUGGCUCCUGUGGGAAUCUAAUGCCGCCGCUGAUCUGACAGGAAGCUGAGCUCAGGCAGCCAGUGCUGGCUUGCCUUACCUCCUGCUGUUCUGCCCAGGUCCUGACAGGCCACAGAGCAGUACUGGUCCACAACCUGGGGGCUGGGGACACCUGCUUUAAGGGAACAGUUCUUGAGAACAAACAACAUCUGCUCCAGAGGUCAUUGAUGCUUGAAGAUCAUAGUGAAAGAAGAAUGUUCUCAAAGAACAAGAUUUUUGGGUCAGAUAUUGCUAUGUUUGAAUCUCUUUCCUUCAAAUCCACUUACACAUCCUCCCUGAACCUCAUUUUUUAAAUAAAAUAAUACAAUGAUAUUUACAUAUAAUAUAAUAUUUUGAGAUUUAGGUUAAAUGGUGCAGUUGAAAGUCACUAAUAGUAUAAGGCAUAUGGCAUAUUGUACAUCAAUCUAUUGUAUUUUAUAUCAAUAUAUGUUGUAUUCAAUAUUGUUCAUUAUUCAUUGUUCAUUAUUCAAUAUGUAUUCAUAUUGUACAUCAAUAUAUGUUGAAUAACUGAAUCCAGGGAAUAUUCCUUCUGCAACUGAUUUCAAAUAGUGCCAUUACCCAGAGCUGUGGAUGUUGCCUGAGUUGACUUGUACUUACCUGCAAAGCAAGUGACCUUGAACGGGCAGAGUAAGAGGAAGAGGCCCUCCAUGGAAAACUAAACAACUGGUCCAUUUUUGUUUGAAUAAUCAAGUCUGGGAGGUGUUCCUUGUGCAGAGCACAUUAUUUUCUUUCUAUAUUGGAUAGCUGUACCCCAUUCACAGGGGUGACAUGCCAUUCAUACUGCAGCAGUAGGAAAGUCCCCAUGGUUUCUCUUUCCUCAUUCACUUUUAUAUGUAUAUAUAUUUUUUAUUAUACUUUAAGUUCUAGGGUACAUGUGCACAAUGUUCAGGUUUGUUACAUAUGUAUACACGUGCCAUGUUGGUGUGCUGCACCCAUUAACUUGUCAUUUACCUUAGGUAUAUCUCCUAAUGCUAUCCCUCCCCACUCCCCCUACUCCACAACAGGCCCCAGUGUGUGAUGUUCCCCUUCCUGUGUCUAAGUGUUCUUAUUGUUCAAUUCCCAUCUGUGAGUGAGAACACAUCAUUCACUUUUGAUGUCGGUGGAAUAGUGGCCCCCACAAAGACGUACACAUCCGGAUCCCCAGAACCUAUGAAUAUGUUCCUUUACAUGGUUUUAUGGAUUGAUCUGUAUGCUGCUAAAAUUAAUAUGUUGAAGUUGUGGCCCACAAUACCACAAAAUGUGACUAAAUUUGGAGAUAGGUCUUUUCAGAGGUAAUCAAUUUAAGAUGAGUUUAUUAGGGUAGAUGCUAAUUUAAUGUAACUUUGUUCCCAUAAGAAGGAAAAAAUUGGACACGGAGAUAAGGACAGAGGAAAGAUGAUGUGAAGACAGGGGCAGAAGUCAGCCAUCUACAAGUCAAAGGGAGACAUGUGGAACAGAUUCACCCUCACAGCCCUCAGAUGGAAGCAACACCACUAACACUUUGCUCUUGGACUUCUAGCUUCCAGAACUGAGAGACAAUAUCUUUCUGUUGCUUAAGUCAUUCUGUCUGUGAUACUGUGUUUAUGGCAGCCCUGGCAAACUAAUACAGUCCCACAAAGAUUUGGUUGUUGCUUUGCAAGAGAAUGUAUAAUUCCUGGUUAUUUCUACAAAUAAGGGCAUUGACUUUAUAAAGCUACAAGUAUACCCCAGUAUUCUGUUUCUGGUUUUUGUUUACUUUCAUAUAUGCUAUCUUUUCAUUCCCAGGUGAAAUCAUAGUGCAUUUUAAAUGAUAUUUUAAAGAGCAAUUAUACUCGUCAUAUGUACUUCAAAUAAUACUGAUUCCUCAAUUGAAGUAAUGGUAACAUGAGUGUAUUAGUUAAUUUUUUCUGAAUAACUAGUUACCUCCAAAGUUCAUGCCUUCAAGCAACACAUAUUCAUUAUUUCACAGCUUCUUUGGGUCAGGAGUCUUGGCAUAGCUUAGCUGAGUCCUCUGGCUCCUGGCGUCCCAGGCUGUAAUCAAGGUGGUGGCCAGGACUGUAGUCAUGUCAGGGCUCGCCAGGGAAGGAUCUGCCUCCAAGCUAACCAGUGUGGCUUUUGGCAGAAUAUAUUUCUAUGCAGGUUGUUGGACUGAGUUUCUUGCUGGCUGUUCCAGAGGUUCCCUUAGCAUCUUGUCGUGUGGCCUCUUCAUAGGUCAAUUCAUAUUGGCUUCAUCAAAGUGAGCAGGUAAGAUAGCAAAAGAGAAUGCCCAAGAUAGAAGCCAUAGUCUUUUUGUAAUCUAAUCUUAGAAGUGACAGCCUGUUAUAUUUGCUAUAUUCUCUUUGUUAGAAACAAGUUUCUAGGGCUGGGCAUGGUGGCUCACAUCUGUAAUCCCAGCAUUUUGGGAGGCCGAGACAGGCAGAUCACCUGAGGUCAGGAGUUCGAGACCAGCCUGGCCAACAUGGCGAAAUCCUGUCUCUACUAAAAAUACAAAGCCGAGUGUGGUGGCGCAGGCCUGUAAUCCCAGCUACUUGGGAGGCUAAGGCAGGAGAAGCACUUGAACCUGGGUGGUGGAGGUUGCAGUGAGCCAAGAUUGUGCCACUGCACUCCAGCCUGGGUGACAGAGUGAGACUCCAUCUCAAAAAACAAACAAACAAAAAACCAAAUUACUAGGUUUGUCUCAUUCUCAAGGGAAGAGUUUACUCAAGAGAAUAAAUACCAGGAGGUUGGGAUCACUGGAGGCCAGUUUAGAGUCUGCCUACCAAUAGGAGCAAGGCCAUCAAUGUCAGUCAGUGACAUCAACAUCAUGUAGACUGCUUGGCCAACAGUAAUGCUAAAAUGCCAUCAAUCUUGAGAUCAUCUUCAUCUCAUAAAUAUUAACAUGUAAAAAAAGUCAUUUUAAAGUAAAG